RNAcentral lists this ribosomal RNA (399 nucleotides) under uncultured bacterium. Its description in RNAcentral is "bacterial SSU rRNA". It matches the Rfam family "Bacterial small subunit ribosomal RNA", at positions 362 to 758 of the family's 1533-position model. The record is from RNAcentral.
UAUUGGUCAAUGGACGAAAGUCUGAACCAGCCAUGCCGCGUGAAGGAUGAAGGCCCUCUGGGUCGUAAACUUCUUUUAUUAGGGAAGAAACCUCAGGAUGCGUCCUGAGCUGACGGUACUUAAUGAAUAAGGAUCGGCUAACUUCGUGCCAGCAGCCGCGGUAAGACGAAGGAUCCAAGCGUUGUCCGGAUUUACUGGGCUUAAAGGGUGCGUAGGCGGAAAAUUAAGUCAGUGGUGAAAGCCCGCAGCUCAACUGUGGAACCGCCAUUGAAACUGGUUUUCUUGAAUAUAGCUGAGGCAGAUGGAAUAUAACAUGUAGCGGUGAAAUGCUUAGAUAUGUUAUAGAACACCGAUUGCGAAGGCAGUCUGCUAAACUAUUAUUGACGCUGAGGCACGAGG